This 674-nucleotide ribosomal RNA is filed under the name uncultured Acidobacteriota bacterium. Its description in RNAcentral is "bacterial SSU rRNA". It matches the Rfam family "Bacterial small subunit ribosomal RNA", at positions 46 to 700 of the family's 1533-position model. Lineage: Bacteria; Pseudomonadati; Acidobacteriota. The record is from RNAcentral.
GCUUACACAUGCAAGUCGAGCGAGAAAGCGGCUUCGGUCGUGAGUAAAGCGGCGGACGGGUGAGUAACACGUGGACAACCUGCCUGGAAGUGGGGAAUAACUUGAGGAAACUCGAGCUAAUACCGCAUGCGUCCGCACCGUGCGAGCGGUGCGUGCAAAGGUGGCCUCUUCAUGAAAGCUGUCGCUUCCAGAUGGGUCCGCGGCUGAUUAGCCAGUUGGUGGGGUAACGGCCUACCAAAGCGACGAUCAGUAGCCGGCCUGAGAGGGCGAUCGGCCACACUGGAACUGAGACACGGUCCAGACUCCUACGGGAGGCAGCAGUGGGGAAUAUUGGACAAUGGGCGAAAGCCUGAUCCAGCAACGCCGCGUGGAGGAUGAAGGCCCUAGGGUUGUAAACUCCUGUCAGGUGGGACGAAAAGGUGUCGGUCAAUACCCGGCACCCUCGACGGUACCACCGGAGGAAGCCCCGGCUAACUACGUGCCAGCAGCCGCGGUAACACGUAGGGGGCAAGCGUUAUUCGGAAUUAUUGGGCGUAAAGGGCGCGUAGGCGGCCUGACAAGUCAGGGGUGAAAUCCCUCGGCUCAACCGAGGAACUGCCUCUGAAACUGUUCGGCUUGAGGCCGGGAGAGGGUGGUGGAAUUCCCAGUGUAGCGGUGAAAUGCGUAGAUAUUGG